This 228-nucleotide ribosomal RNA is filed under the name uncultured bacterium. Its description in RNAcentral is "partial 16S ribosomal RNA". It matches the Rfam family "Bacterial small subunit ribosomal RNA", at positions 103 to 334 of the family's 1533-position model. The record is from RNAcentral.
CGGGUGAGUAAUGUCUGGGAAACUGCCUGAUGGAGGGGAAUAACUGCUGGAAACGGUAGCUAAUACCGCAUAACGUCGCAAGACCAAAGAGGGGGACCUUCGGGCCUCUUGCCAUCGGAUGUGCCCAGAUGGGAUUAGCUAGUAGGUGGGGUAACGGCUCACCUAGGCGACGAUCCCUAGCUGGUCUGAGAGGAUGACCAGCCACACUGGAACUGAGACACGGUCCAG